Molecule: ribosomal RNA, 218 nt
Filed under: uncultured bacterium
Lineage: Bacteria
Description: partial 16S ribosomal RNA
Rfam family: Bacterial small subunit ribosomal RNA
Source: RNAcentral
GAGCACCUGGCCUUUGGUGGUGGGGGAGUAGCCGGGCUAACGCCCGGGUAAUACCGCAUACGGUUGCCGAGGGGAGUCCCUUGGCAAAGAAACCUCCGGGGCACAGAGAGGGGCUCGCGGCCUAUCAGCUAGUUGGUGAGGUAAUGGCUCACCAAGGCGACGACGGGUAGCUGGUCUGAGAGGAUGGCCAGCCACAUUGGGACUGAGAUACGGCCCAG